GACGAACGCUGGCGGCGUGCUUAACACAUGCAAGUCGAACGGAAAGGCCCUGCUUUUGUGGGGUGCUCGAGUGGCGAACGUGUGUGUAACACGUGUGUCACCUGCCCUUGACUUUGGUAUACCUUCAGGAAACUGGGGCUAAUACCGGAUAGCAUCUCCUGCUGCAUGGUGGGGUUUGGAAAGUUUCGGCGGUUGGGGAUGGACUCGCGGCUUAUCAGCUUGUUGGUGGGGUAGUGGCUUACCAAGGCUUUGACGGGUAGCCGGCCUGAGAGGGUGACCGGCCACAUUGGGACUGAGAUACGGCCCAGACUCCUACGGGAGGCAGCAGUGGGGAAUAUUGCACAAUGGGCGGAAGCCUGAUGCAGCAACGCCGCGUGCGGGAUGACGGCCUUCGGGUUGUAAACCGCUUUCGCCUGGGAAGAAGCGUGAGUGACGGUAAUGGGUAAAGAAGCACCGGCUAACUACGUG
RNAcentral lists this ribosomal RNA (468 nucleotides) under uncultured bacterium. RNAcentral's name for it is "partial 16S ribosomal RNA". It matches the Rfam family "Bacterial small subunit ribosomal RNA", at positions 28 to 507 of the family's 1533-position model. The record is from RNAcentral.